This 72-nucleotide transfer RNA is filed under the name Camelus bactrianus (Bactrian camel). It matches the Rfam family "tRNA". Rfam says of the family: Transfer RNA (tRNA) molecules are approximately 80 nucleotides in length. RNAcentral also lists the same sequence under 1 other name. Lineage: Eukaryota; Metazoa; Chordata; Mammalia; Artiodactyla; Camelidae. The record is from Rfam by way of RNAcentral.
GAGGGUAUAGCUCAAGUGGUAGAGCACGUGGUUAGUAUGCACGAGGUCCUGUGUUCAAUCCCCAGUACUUCA